GGCCUUACACAUGCAAGUCGAGCGGGCGAGGUUGCUUCGGUAACUGAGCUAGCGGCGGACGGGUGAGUAAAGCUUAGGAAUCUGCCUAUUAGUGGGGGACAACAUUCCGAAAGGGAUGCUAAUACCGCAUACGUCCUACGGGAGAAAGCAGGGGAUCACUUGUGACCUUGCGCUAAUAGAUGAGCCUAAGUCGGAUUAGCUAGUUGGUGGGGUAAAGGCCUACCAAGGCGACGAUCUGUAGCGGGUCUGAGAGGAUGAUCCGCCACACUGGGACUGAGACACGGCCCAGACUCCUACGGGAGGCAGCAGUGGGGAAUAUUGGACAAUGGGGGGAACCCUGAUCCAGCCAUGCCGCGUGUGUGAAGAAGGCCUUUUGGUUGUAAAGCACUUUAAGCGAGGAGGAGGCUUACCUGGUUAAUACCUGGGAUAAGUGGACGUUACUCGCAGAAUAAGCACCGGCUAACUCUGUGCCAGCAGCCGCGGUAAUACAGAGGGUGCGAGCGUUAAUCGGAUUUACUGGGCGUAAAGCGCGCGUAGGUGGUUAAUUAAGUCAAAUGUGAAAUCCCCGAGCUUAACUUGGGAAUUGCAUUCGAUACUGGUUAGCUAGAGUAUGGGAGAGGAUGGUAGAAUUCCAGGUGUAGCGGUGAAAUGCGUAGAGAUCUGGAGGAAUACCGAUGGCGAAGGCAGCCAUCUGGCCUAAUACUGACACUGAGGUGCGAAAGCAUGGGGAGCAAACAGGAUUAGAUACCCUGGUAGUCCAUGCCGUAAACGAUGUCUACUAGCCGUUGGGGGAUUUGAUCCUUUAGUGGCGCAGCUAACGCGAUAAGUAGACCGCCUGGGGAGUACGGUCGCAAGACUAAAACUCAAAUGAAUUGACGGGGGCCCGCACAAGCGGUGGAGCAUGUGGUUUAAUUCGAUGCAACGCGAAGAACCUUACCUGGCCUUGACAUAGUAGAGACUUUCCAGAGAUGGAUUGGUGCCUUCGGGAAUC
Molecule: ribosomal RNA, 991 nt
Filed under: Acinetobacter sp. NF009
Lineage: Bacteria; Pseudomonadati; Pseudomonadota; Gammaproteobacteria; Moraxellales; Moraxellaceae
Description: bacterial SSU rRNA
Rfam family: Bacterial small subunit ribosomal RNA
Source: RNAcentral